Molecule: long non-coding RNA, 1263 nt
Filed under: Homo sapiens (human)
Lineage: Eukaryota; Metazoa; Chordata; Mammalia; Primates; Hominidae
Description: HSALNT0028952
Source: RNAcentral
CUUGAAGAAACCCACCUGGAUCUGGUCACCAGUGACUCAGAAGCCCAACUGAUGGCGGAAGGCAGGAAGAUAAGCUGGACUCCUUGAAGCCGACACCCCCCAGGGAAAUUCCAUCACCCGCCUUGAGCACUGUAGACCGGGCUGGGCUGUCCCCCCUUGGAAGUAGGAAGCAGAGGGAAGACGGAGCCAGUGUCCUCCACCUGUUUGCAGACGCGCCUGUGCAGGAGGCAGGAGAGACUCCAAGCCCACUACCUACAGAGUCCUGGCUUCUCAAGUAAGGUUAAGUGCAGAGAAGGCACCAGAGUCCCUGGGAUCUGCUACUUUAACUGGGGAGACCUGUAAGUAACAUCGAAUUACUAGGUUCUCUAGUAAUCAUUUUCCCUCUGAAAAGAAUUCAAUGCCCAUAGGAGAUGGAGCUUCCGGUAGCCUGAAGCAGCCCAUCUGGGCCUGGAUGUUGUUUCGUGUGGAAGAUGGUAUUUGCAUCCUGGGGAAAGCAUCUUGGUGUCCAGGCUCUGGCUGUGGGGGUUAGGUGCCUGCAACACCCCCUCUCCCCUGUCAUCCCUCCUGAGCCAGGCAGGCCUUCAGCACUCCCUACCACUGAGACUAUAGACUGAGAAGUAACUCCCUGUCGCUGGGCCUCCAUGAUGUCGGUCUUCUGUACCUUACAGGCCUUGCCUCAGUGCUGCCCACCUUCAUGUCUGGGAGAGUCUUCAUUGAUUGCUGGGGACCAAAACCAACUUAGACUAGGGAUCCCAGUUCCAGCACCCAUGCCCAGGGCCCUUUCUUCCUUUAAAAUAGACGGCUGACUCUGGCCCUUCUUCACUGAUGGGCGAUGGCUUCCUGCACUGCUUUGUUUUCUUCUUCAUCCAAGUGUUGUCCUGUGAAUCUCAGAGUGUGGUCUUUGGACCAACGGCACCACCGUCACCUGUGAGCUUGUUGACUGCAAAUUCUCUGGUUCUACCCAAGACCUGCUGAAUCCGAGACUCUGGAGGCAUGGCCAUGCUAUCUGUAUUUUAACAAGCACUCCAGGGGAUUCACGGGCAUGCUUAAGUCUGAGAACCACUGGUGCAGUAUAUUACCUAGGAGCCCUGAGUAGGACACUUCAUUUAGUUUUCUGAUCCACACAAGGAGAACCCGUCCGGGCGCAUGAGGCUUGCGGGUACAGAGUGUGUCUUCCCAAGGAAGGCAGGCUACCUACCUCCCACGUGUCCGGCAUGUAACCCAUCAGCUGACUCCUGACAGUGCAGAGGCCAGAGGCCAGAC